GCCAGACGCGGUGGUGCACGCCUGUAGUCCCAGCUACUCGGGAGACUGAGACGGGAGGCUGCUUGAGCCCAGGAGUUCUGGGCUGUAGUGCGCUAUGCCGAUCAGGUGUCCGCCCUAAGUUCGGCAUCAAUAUGGUGACCUCCUGGGAGCGGGGGACCACCAGGUUGCCUAAGGAGGGGUGAAUCGGCCCAGGUUGGAAACGGAGCAGGUCAAAACUCCCGUGCUGAUCAGUAGUGGGAUCGAGCCUGUGAAUAGCCGCUGCAUUCCAGUCUGGGCAAUAUAGCAAGACCCUGUCUCU
RNAcentral lists this signal recognition particle RNA (298 nucleotides) under Propithecus coquereli (Coquerel's sifaka). RNAcentral's name for it is "Metazoan signal recognition particle RNA (ENSPCOG00000002171.1)". It matches the Rfam family "Metazoan signal recognition particle RNA". Rfam says of the family: The signal recognition particle (SRP) is a universally conserved ribonucleoprotein. The record is from RNAcentral. Lineage: Eukaryota; Metazoa; Chordata; Mammalia; Primates; Indriidae.